GAAAAUUGGCGACAGGCGCACGGUGUCUAAAUCUAGGUGUCCACCAAUACUUCCACCUCCCGCCUCCUUCAGUGUCGUGAGUUCCUCCAUUACCAGAUGAAAUUGAUUUUCUUUUUUCUCAAAAUUUUAUUUUUUAGAUUCUAUCAAAAUCGAUUUCUUUCUUCACAAAAAUUGAUUUGUUGAAAUCGAUUUUAUUGCUUCUUUUCUCAUCUGUGAAAUCCAUUGAUUAUUUGAAAUCGACGUUGAAGGAUUCAGAAUCGGAAGUCACAGGUUAAUCAAAUCGUUAAGAGUUUCAGUCUCAAUAUUGAAAUCGAUUUGGAAGUUCUGGAAUCGGAAUUUGAAAACGGUAAUCAUUCAGAAGCAAAAACGAAACUGAAAUUGGAAUCGGAGCUUGCAAGCAUUCGGUGAUGUAGGCUCGUAUGUUACAACCGAUUCACAUUCAGAGUUUUGGAAUCAGAACUUAAAAUCCUUCGAAUCAAAAUCGGAGAUAUGCGUUUGGUGUUCAAGGCUCGGGUUUUUCGUCUCACAAUCAAUUUUUGAAUCUCAAAAUUGAAAUCGCUUUGAAAUUCAUAAACGAUUCGAAAGCAGAACAAUCUCAUCGAAUCGUUCAGAAUUUGGAUGUCAUCGGAACGCUGGGCAGUGUUGAUUCGAUGGCAAACUUGAUUUUGACUUUUACAAGUCAACUACGUGUUUUAUCAGAUUAAAUGAAGAAGAUGACUUCAUUUACAAUUUCAGCCCUCGGAAGUUACAAAGAUUGACAGAAUUAUCCCUGUUUCUAAAUCCUUUACUAAUCCAUGGUUUUAACCAUUCAGGGCAUCUCAUGUUUACAAUCAACGCCAACAACCAGAUUUUGAUCAGAACCGACAGUUCCGAACGCAAGGAUAUCUACCACAAUGUUAUGGACAAUUUUGGCGACUUAUCUACUCUAAUAAAUGAAGGUUUUUUGUCACAUGUCCUCUUCUUCUUCAUUUGGACACAUGGCAUUUUCUAAAAUUUUAAAUUUUCUAUUUUCCACUUGUCAUUUUAUUGUAUUUUUCAUUUUAUGAAAUUAAAAUUCCACAUUUAAUAUCUAAGGUAAUAUAUAUGUAAGGUAUUUAUUAGAAAAUGGUUUAUAUAUGUAAUGUAUCCAAUACAUUAAAGUCUUAUUAAUUUUAAUAAUUCAAAAAAUUUCUCAUUUUUCUUCUAAAUUCAAGCUUUUCAAAUUGUUAAAAUUUUAUAUUUGAUUUUUUUUUUAAAUAAACUCAUGUAAUAUAUGGGUCUCACACCUAGUGGUUCUAAUAUAGGACUAUGGUAAAUGAGAGGAAGCAAAACCAGGACCUCCAGCUGGAUGCGGUAAUGAAUGUUUUUGUAAAAUUCUUCUACUUUCUUUUAGUUGGCAUUGACAUAUUGGGAACGUUUGUGCUUGAAAUUGGAAUGAUUUAGUGCUAACAUUCUACUGUUACUUUUUUUGGAAUGAUUUUAGUGCUAACUUGCUAGUGUUAAUUUUACAUUCCAAUAUUCUAUCUUUGACUUCAAUUUCACCAUUCUACUCAUAAACUUUUUUUGCUAUUAAUUUUAUUUUUCUUUUUCAUUGUCGACUAUUUAUUUUUUAGUUGUAAUCUAAGUUUUGUAUUAUCUAUGAAAAAUGAAUAGUAUGAAUAUUUGUUUUUGAAUCUCGAAAUUGUAGCUAGUUGGUUUGUUUAUCAACCAUAGUAAAUUUAGUUUAUUCAACAUGAUAUAGGUUUUAAUUGCUACCUUACCUCUUUGUUUAUAUAAUUUAAUUUUAUUCUUUGAAUUGCCUUGUACUUUGUUGUGGCAAUUUAUGAACUAACAACAUCACAUGGUUGAAGUUAUUUGCUAAUAUAUGUAUUUCUUGAGAUUUUACAUAAUUUUUUUGUCCUCUAAAUGUUCGAUGAAAUGUUUAUAAAAUCUCAUCUCUUUCAUUGUAGUUUUAGGAUUACAUUCUAUUCUGUCAGAAUAUAUUCUGCCAGAAUAAAAUCUAUGUAUUCUGUCAUAUUCUAUGUAUUCUACCAGAAUAUAUAAAGUGAUAAUUAAUUGCAAGUAACAUGUUUUUAACCAUUAUUAGUUGUUGUUGUAUUUGUGAUAGGAAUGGCUGGAAGAAUGCAUUGAAGACCUAAUAGGAAUAACUUGAAGAAUGAAUAACAUUUGAUCAUACUCACAAUUUUAGAAUGUUGUUAUUUUUUUAGAAUUUUAUUCAGUUUUGUUGAUAUUCUUUUAGAAUAUGUAUACUUAUAUUAAAAUGUAUAAGGCUUUUAAUCUGUAAGAAUAUGUAUGAAUUUGUAGUUAAGUUCGGAUGUAUAAGAAUAUAUUAGAAUGUUGUUAUUUUUUAACCUCGGAUUCAAUAAUGUUGUUAUUCUUCAAUAA
RNAcentral lists this long non-coding RNA (2364 nucleotides) under Lactuca sativa (garden lettuce). RNAcentral describes it as "long non-coding RNA (LSAT_LNC006398)". Lineage: Eukaryota; Viridiplantae; Streptophyta; Magnoliopsida; Asterales; Asteraceae. The record is from RNAcentral.